Leguminivora glycinivorella is the source of this 342-nucleotide long non-coding RNA. RefSeq lists it as uncharacterized. NCBI's taxonomy places the organism in Eukaryota, Metazoa, Arthropoda, Insecta, Lepidoptera, Tortricidae. The transcript is spliced from 3 exons. The record is from RefSeq and is a predicted model, not a curated record.
UUCAAAUUCUCACUUUUAGUGCUCUGUGAAAAACUUGGUUCACAGUGCACUUUUAUUGAAGGAAUUUGUUCACAGGCACUAUGAAGACUAUUUUAAUAUUUCUGACAUUAGUUUUGAUAAUUUCAAUGGUGUCGGGUGACUGGAUCGCGGAUCUCAAAUUCAAGGCUACUGAAGUGCAAGCAACAUGCGGAAGGAUUACCCAAAACUUAGGAUCAUUAAGGGAAAUAAUUAAUUUCCAAAAUCGCAACAAAGCCAAACUAGAUUUAAGCUGUUAUUGAAUCUGGACAUCAGGACAACAACAAGUCAAGUAUGACUACAAAUAAAUGAAUGUAAUUAAGCGUA